This 75-nucleotide transfer RNA is filed under the name Acidobacteriota bacterium. Its description in RNAcentral is "tRNA-Gly". It matches the Rfam family "tRNA". From Rfam's summary of the family: Transfer RNA (tRNA) molecules are approximately 80 nucleotides in length. Their secondary structure includes four short double-helical elements and three loops (D, anti-codon, and T loops). The record is from RNAcentral. Lineage: Bacteria; Pseudomonadati; Acidobacteriota.
GCGAGAGUGAUGUAGCCGGCAACAUGCGAGUCUUCCAAACUCGAUUCGCGGGUUCGACUCCCGCCUCUCGUUCCA